CCUACGGGUGACAGCAGUGAGGAAUAUUGGUCAAUGGGCGGGAGCCUGAACCAGCCAAGUCGCGUGAGGGAAGACGGUCCUAUGUAUUGUAAACCUCUUUAUGCGGGGAGCCAUGCCGGGCACGCGUGCCCGUCGGGAGCUUACCCGCCGAAUAAGCAUCGGCUAACUCCUUGCCAGCACCCGCGUUAAUACGUAGGAUGCGAUGUUGAUCCGGCUUUCUGGGGUUAAACGGUUGCGUAGUCGGAUUUUAAAGUCAGCGGUAAAAUGUCCGUGCUCAAACCGGGCCGGCCGUUGAAACUGGGGAUCUUGAGUGGGCGAGAAGUAGGCGGAAUGCGUGGUGUAGCGGUGAAAUGCAUAGAUAUCACGCAGAACUCCGAUUGUGAAGGCAGCAUACCGGCGCCCGACUGACGCUGAGGCACGAAAGUGUGGGGAUCGAACAGGAUUAGAUACCCUUGUAGUC
Molecule: ribosomal RNA, 460 nt
Filed under: uncultured bacterium
Lineage: Bacteria
Description: partial 16S ribosomal RNA
Rfam family: Bacterial small subunit ribosomal RNA
Source: RNAcentral